UUCGGGGGGACGAGGGUGACAGGUGGUGCAUGGUUGUCGUCAGCUCGUGUCGUGAGAUGUGGUUAAGUCCCGCAACGAGCGCAACCCUCGACCUUAGUUGCCAGCAUUCAGUUGGGCACUCUAAGGUGACUGCCGGCUAAAAGUCGGAGGAAGGUGGGGAUGACGUCAAAUCAUCAUGCCCCUUAUGACCUGGGCUACACACGUGCUACAAUGGGCGGUACAAAGGGUCGCGAACCCGCGAGGGGGAGCCAAUCCCAAAAAGCCGCUCUCAGUUCGGAUUGCAGGCUGCAACUCGCCUGCAUGAAGCCGGAAUCGCUAGUAAUCGCGGAUCAGCAUGCCGCGGUGAAUACGUUCCCGGGCCUU
This 363-nucleotide ribosomal RNA is filed under the name uncultured Anoxybacillus sp. RNAcentral describes it as "bacterial SSU rRNA". It matches the Rfam family "Bacterial small subunit ribosomal RNA", at positions 1016 to 1382 of the family's 1533-position model. The record is from RNAcentral. Lineage: Bacteria; Bacillati; Bacillota; Bacilli; Caryophanales; Anoxybacillaceae.